Molecule: long non-coding RNA, 523 nt
Filed under: Aotus nancymaae (Ma's night monkey)
Lineage: Eukaryota; Metazoa; Chordata; Mammalia; Primates; Aotidae
Description: lncRNA (ENSANAG00000038835.1)
Source: RNAcentral
CGCCGCGCUCCCCGCUAGGGCUCCACCACUCUGGCCGCGGGAAUUUCCGGCCUCGCCGCGCGGCGCAGCGCCCCGCUCCGGUGGCGGAGGGAACCGCUUCGUCCAGAGCGGGGUUCGAGGGGCCGGCCCGGGCUGCCGGGAGGGAGAGAAGACACGGCACGGGACUUCGUACCGCGCGGGGGACGGGGAAGUAAGCACUGGAGUAUAAAGGUGCUGGAUGUUGGGAGACAUGGGAUCCAGCCUCUACCAUGGAUCUGGUGGGCCUUCUCUGGGCCUUGGUGCCUGCCUGCAGAAUAAGUCCAGCCUUGGCCCAAGACGUGAUCUAAUUCUCAUGCUGCUGUGGGCAGAGCACAUGGCAUCAGAAUGCUGGGAGCUGCUGUCUGUCGCCAUGGGAGGGAAUUCCCCAGCUCAGGAAAACUCUUCCAGCGGAAGGGAGCAGGUGGCGAGCCUCCCUGAAGAGACAGACGCUGCCAACGCUGCAGGCAGAGCCAAUCGUGUGAUGGCUAACAGAUUUUUCCAGUAA